This 323-nucleotide ribosomal RNA is filed under the name uncultured eukaryote. RNAcentral describes it as "partial 18S ribosomal RNA". It matches the Rfam family "Eukaryotic small subunit ribosomal RNA", at positions 1470 to 1796 of the family's 1831-position model. The record is from RNAcentral.
CCCUUAGAUGUUCUGGGUCGCACGCGUGCUACACUGAACGGUUCAAUGGGUAAGGUAGUGCGAAAGCAUGACCUAAUCUCGAAAUCCGUUCGUGCUGGGGAUAGAAGCUUGCAAUUAUCCUUCUUGAACGAGGAAUACCUUGUAAGCGUGAGUCAUCAUCUCACGCUGAAUACGUCCCUGCCCUUUGUACACACCGCCCGUCGCUCCUACCGAUUGAGUGUUCCGGUGAGGCUUUGGGAGAAUGGCCUCAACAUGAGUUUAUCGUGUUUUGCCGUUUGAACUUAGUCAAACCUUAUCACUUAGAGGAAGGAGAAGUCGUAACA